GAUUUCGUAGCUCAAUUGGAAAGAGCAACUGCCUACGAAGCAGUAGGUUACUGGUUCGAGUCCAGUCGAAAUCACAA
This 77-nucleotide transfer RNA is filed under the name Flavobacterium sp. FPG59. RNAcentral's name for it is "tRNA-Arg". It matches the Rfam family "tRNA". From Rfam's summary of the family: Transfer RNA (tRNA) molecules are approximately 80 nucleotides in length. Their secondary structure includes four short double-helical elements and three loops (D, anti-codon, and T loops). The record is from RNAcentral. Lineage: Bacteria; Pseudomonadati; Bacteroidota; Flavobacteriia; Flavobacteriales; Flavobacteriaceae.